This 125-nucleotide small RNA is filed under the name Streptococcus varani. RNAcentral's name for it is "L20_leader". It matches the Rfam family "Ribosomal protein L20 leader". From Rfam's summary of the family: This family is a putative r-protein leader autoregulatory structure found in B. subtilis and other low-GC Gram-positive bacteria. It is located in the 5' untranslated regions of mRNAs encoding initiation factor 3 followed by ribosomal proteins L35 and L20 (infC-rpmI-rplT). The record is from RNAcentral. Lineage: Bacteria; Bacillati; Bacillota; Bacilli; Lactobacillales; Streptococcaceae.
UGAGAAAAGCAGAAGUGAGAACUUCUCGCCUUGCGACUUCGGUUGUCUGGCCCUACAUGUUAAAUUUCCUUUGGGGAGAUUAUGUGUGCGGGCCUGAAUUAUCAGGUUCGCAUUUGUUUUUCUCG